GACAGAGGUGCCGAGCGUUAGGCGGAAUCACUGGGCUUAAAGCGUGUGUAGGCGGACUUGUAAGUACCUUGUGAAAUCCCACAGCUCAACUGUGGAACUGCUUGGUAUACUGCUUGUCUUGAGCCACUUAGGGGCAGUCGGAACAGACGGUGGAGCGGUGAAAUGCGUAGAUAUCGGAAGGAACAUCAGUGGCGAAAGCGGCUUCCUGGACCAGUACCGACGUUCAGGCACGAAAGCGUGGGGAGCAAACAGG
This 253-nucleotide ribosomal RNA is filed under the name uncultured bacterium. RNAcentral's name for it is "partial 16S ribosomal RNA". It matches the Rfam family "Bacterial small subunit ribosomal RNA", at positions 524 to 776 of the family's 1533-position model. The record is from RNAcentral.